RNAcentral lists this ribosomal RNA (443 nucleotides) under uncultured bacterium. Its description in RNAcentral is "partial 16S ribosomal RNA". It matches the Rfam family "Bacterial small subunit ribosomal RNA", at positions 338 to 795 of the family's 1533-position model. The record is from RNAcentral.
CCUACGGGAGGCAGCAGUGGGGAAUAUUGGACAAUGGGGGGAACCCUGAUCCAGCGACGCCGCGUGAGUGAAGAAGUAUUUCGGUAUGUAAAGCUCUAUCGGCAGGGAAGAAAGAAAUGACGGUACCUGACUAAGAAGCCCCGGCUAACUACGUGCCAGCAGCCGCGGUACUACGUAGGGGGCACGCGUUAUCCGGAUUUACUGGGUGUAAGGGGAGCGUAGACGGCGAUGCAAGUCUGAAGUGAAAGGCGGGGGCCCAACCCCCGGACUGCUUUGGAAACUGUAUGGCUGGAGUGCAGGAGAGGUAAGUGGAAUUCCUAGUGUAGCGGUGAAAUGCGUAGAUAUUAGGAGGAACACCAGUGGCGAAGGCGGCUUACUGGACUGUAACUGACGUUGAGGCUCGAAAGCGUGGGGAGCAAACAGGAUUAGAUACCCCGGUAGUC